Molecule: transfer RNA, 67 nt
Filed under: Aethomys kaiseri (Kaiser's rock rat)
Lineage: Eukaryota; Metazoa; Chordata; Mammalia; Rodentia; Muridae
Description: tRNA-Val
Rfam family: tRNA
About the family: Transfer RNA (tRNA) molecules are approximately 80 nucleotides in length.
Source: RNAcentral
CACAGUGUAGCUUAACAUAAAGCAUCUGGCCUACACCCAGAAGACUUCAUACCUAUGAACACUUUGA